RNAcentral lists this transfer RNA (86 nucleotides) under Planctomycetota bacterium. RNAcentral's name for it is "tRNA-Leu". It matches the Rfam family "tRNA". From Rfam's summary of the family: Transfer RNA (tRNA) molecules are approximately 80 nucleotides in length. Their secondary structure includes four short double-helical elements and three loops (D, anti-codon, and T loops). Lineage: Bacteria; Pseudomonadati; Planctomycetota. RNAcentral also lists the same sequence under 1 other name. The record is from RNAcentral.
GCCGGAGUGGCGGAAUUGGCAGACGCGCCGGACUCAAAAUCCGGUGGAGGUGAUACUCCGUGUGGGUUCGAGUCCCACCUCCGGCA